This 93-nucleotide transfer RNA is filed under the name Xanthomonas sp. SS. Its description in RNAcentral is "tRNA-Gly". The record is from RNAcentral. Lineage: Bacteria; Pseudomonadati; Pseudomonadota; Gammaproteobacteria; Lysobacterales; Lysobacteraceae.
GGCUGCGUCGGCGCGGCGGAGCGCGCCGCGGGCCGCCGUCCGGCGAACGGUACGGUCCUUGCAGGAGGCUGGGUUGAAUCCCCUGCCCGGCGC